Molecule: long non-coding RNA, 820 nt
Organism: Pezoporus occidentalis (night parrot)
Lineage: Eukaryota; Metazoa; Chordata; Aves; Psittaciformes; Psittacidae
Exons: 3
Source: RefSeq, a predicted model, not a curated record
GACAGGAUGAACAAGACAGCUAAGGAGCAGGACCAUAGUGAAUACUGAGAAUUUUCAUGUCCUUACAGACCUCCUUCCUUGAGUCAUUUUUUUCAAACAACUUUAUCUCACACAAAAGGAUUCUGCAGUACUACAGUUUCCUCAUGCCUUAACAAUUUCCUUAGAAGUCCAAGCAAAAGUUACACAUCUGGGCUCCCUCAGUGUGAGAGCCAUGGGUCCUUAGCACAUACCAGGCUUAAUUUUUAAAAGACUCAGAAUUUCACCUGUGGAACAGAGAAAUGCAUCACCAGAUCUUUAUUGUCACUCUUGACCAAAGACCUUAAUAGGAAUAAGUAUGGGAGAUAAAAGACAAAACACUUAAGCACACUGUAAGCCCACAAUAUACCUUUCUAACCUUGGAUAGUGAUACAUUCUGAGAAAUUUUUACUUCAAAUCAUAUUUUUAAUAUCCAAAAUAUAUCUUCACUUCAGAAUGCUUUCUUUUCAGUUGCACAUUUAAACCUCUGUUUCUUUCAUAUAUUUUGCUGUAGCUACUGAAGAUUAUUUUCUGAAAAGAUUAGCAAAAGUUAUUGUAAUCUCUAUGACUCAGUGCAUGGAACAGAAGAAAGAACAUGCAAAUUUAGGGGCGGGAAAGACCUAAAAGAAAUUACAAUGUAAUUCUUUUCUUCUGUAUUACUUAGCAGUAAUGCACUGUCAGUUCGCAGGCUAGAUCAGUUCCUUCAUUUUUAACAUAUUGAGUAGUUUACUAAAUAGAUUAUGUAUGAAGACAUCUAGAGUACUGAGAUAUUUGUGAUGGUUUAUGAAAACUGCAACCUCUAUCU